UAAGCAUAUCAAUAAGCGGAGGA
This 23-nucleotide ribosomal RNA is filed under the name [Candida] sp. SL 040806. RNAcentral describes it as "Candida sp. SL 040806 partial 28S ribosomal RNA". The record is from RNAcentral. Lineage: Eukaryota; Fungi; Ascomycota; Saccharomycetes; Saccharomycetales.